UGGGGGAUAUUGCACAAUGGGGGGAACCCUGAUGCAGCGACGCCGCGUGAGUGAAGAAGUAAUUCGUUAUGUAAAGCUCUAUCAGCAGGGAAGAAGAAAUGACGGUACCUGAGUAAGAAGCCCCGGCUAACUACGUGCCAGCAGCCGCGGUAAUACGUAGGGGGCAAGCGUUAUCCGGAUUUACUGGGUGUAAAGGGAGCGUAGACGGCGAUGCAAGCCAGAUGUGAAAGCCCGCGGCUCAACUGCGGGACUGCAUUUGGAACUGUAUGGCUGGAGUGCAGGAGAGGCAGGCGGAAUUCCUAGUGUAGCGGUGAAAUGCGUAGAUAUUAGGAGGAACACCAGUGGCGAAGGCGGCCUGCUGGACUGUAACUGACGUUGAGGCUCGAAAGCGUGGGGAGCAAACAGGAUUAGAUACCC
RNAcentral lists this ribosomal RNA (417 nucleotides) under uncultured bacterium. Its description in RNAcentral is "bacterial SSU rRNA". It matches the Rfam family "Bacterial small subunit ribosomal RNA", at positions 355 to 787 of the family's 1533-position model. The record is from RNAcentral.